GCCUGCGUGGCUCAGGCGGUUGAGCGUCCGACUUCGGCUCAGGUCAUGAUCUCAAUUUGUGGGUUUGAACCCCAUCACGGGCU
RNAcentral lists this transfer RNA (83 nucleotides) under Felis catus (domestic cat). It matches the Rfam family "tRNA". From Rfam's summary of the family: Transfer RNA (tRNA) molecules are approximately 80 nucleotides in length. Lineage: Eukaryota; Metazoa; Chordata; Mammalia; Carnivora; Felidae. The record is from Rfam by way of RNAcentral.